GAUGAACGCUGGCGGCGUGCUAAUACAUGCAAGUCGAACGCUGAAGCCCAGCUUGCUGGGUGGAUGAGUGGCGAACGGGUGAGUAACACGUGAGUAACCUGCCCCCUUCUUUGGGAUAACGCCCGGAAACGGGUGCUAAUACUGGAUAUUCACUGGCUUUCGCAUGGGGGUUGGUGGAAAGGUUUUUUCUGGUGGGGGAUGGGCUCGCGGCCUAUCAGCUUGUUGGUGGGGUGAUGGCCUACCAAGGCUUUGACGGGUAGCCGGCCUGAGAGGGUGACCGGUCACAUUGGGACUGAGAUACGGCCCAGACUCCUACGGGAGGCAGCAGUGGGGAAUAUUGCACAAUGGGCGAAAGCCUGAUGCAGCGACGCCGCGUGAGGGAUGACGGCCUUCGGGUUGUAAACCUCUUUCGCUCAUGGUCAAGCCGCAGCUUUGGGUUGUGGUGAGGGUAGUGGGUAAAGAAGCGCCGGCUAACUACGUGCCAGCAGCCGCGGUAAUACGUAGGGCGCGAGCGUUGUCCGGAAUUAUUGGGCGUAAAGGGCUUGUAGGCGGUUGGUCGCGUCUGCCGUGAAAUCCUCUGGCUUAACUGGGGGCGUGCGGUGGGUACGGGCUGACUUGAGUGCGGUAGGGGAGACUGGAACUCCUGGUGUAGCGGUGGAAUGCGCAGAUAUCAGGAAGAACACCGGUGGCGAAGGCGGGUCUCUGGGCCGUUACUGACGCUGAGGAGCGAAAGCGUGGGGAGCGAACAGG
RNAcentral lists this ribosomal RNA (750 nucleotides) under uncultured Actinomyces sp. RNAcentral's name for it is "bacterial SSU rRNA". It matches the Rfam family "Bacterial small subunit ribosomal RNA", at positions 28 to 776 of the family's 1533-position model. The record is from RNAcentral. Lineage: Bacteria; Bacillati; Actinomycetota; Actinomycetes; Actinomycetales; Actinomycetaceae.